Molecule: ribosomal RNA, 228 nt
Filed under: Staphylococcus aureus
Lineage: Bacteria; Bacillati; Bacillota; Bacilli; Caryophanales; Staphylococcaceae
Description: partial 23S ribosomal RNA
Rfam family: Bacterial large subunit ribosomal RNA
Source: RNAcentral
AACGGAGGCGCUCAAAGGUUCCCUCAGAAUGGUUGGAAAUCAUUCAUAGAGUGUAAAGGCAUAAGGGAGCUUGACUGCGAGACCUACAAGUCGAGCAGGGGCGAAAGACGGACUUAGUGAUCCGGUGGUUCCGCAUGGAAGGGCCAUCGCUCAACGGAUAAAAGCUACCCCGGGGAUAACAGGCUUAUCUCCCCCAAGAGUUCACAUCGACGGGGAGGUUUGGCACCU